Pipistrellus kuhlii (Kuhl's pipistrelle) is the source of this 106-nucleotide small nuclear RNA. The record is from RefSeq and is a predicted model, not a curated record. NCBI's taxonomy places the organism in Eukaryota, Metazoa, Chordata, Mammalia, Chiroptera, Vespertilionidae.
AUGCUCGUUUUGGCAGCACAUAUACUAAAAUUGGAACGAUACAGAGAAGAUAGCAUGACCCCUGUGCAAUGAUGACACCCAAAUUCAUGAAGCGUUCCAUAUUAAA